This 71-nucleotide transfer RNA is filed under the name Loxodonta africana (African savanna elephant). It matches the Rfam family "tRNA". Rfam says of the family: Transfer RNA (tRNA) molecules are approximately 80 nucleotides in length. The record is from Rfam by way of RNAcentral. Lineage: Eukaryota; Metazoa; Chordata; Mammalia; Proboscidea; Elephantidae.
GUAGUGGUAGUUCAGUGGUAGAAUUCUCGCCUUCCAUGUGGGAGGUGCGGGUUUGAUUCCAGGCCAAGGCA